AACGAACGCUGGCGGCGUGCCUAACACAUGCAAGUCGAGCGUGAAAGUCCCUUCGGGGGCAAGUAAAGCGGCAGACGGGUGAGUAAUACAUAGGUAAUCUACCUUCGAGAUUGGGAUAACCCUGCGAAAGUGGGGCUAAUACCGGAUAAGACCACGUGGCUUAAGUCGCGUGGUAAAAGGUGGCUUGUUUUUAAAUGAGCUAUCACUUGAGGAUGAGCCUGUGGCCUAUCAGCUUGUUGGUGAGGUAAGAGCUUACCAAGGCUAUGACGGGUAGCUGGUCUGAGAGGACGACCAGCCACACUGGGACUGAGACACGGCCCAGACUCCUACGGGAGGCAG
RNAcentral lists this ribosomal RNA (339 nucleotides) under uncultured Pseudomonadota bacterium. RNAcentral's name for it is "bacterial SSU rRNA". It matches the Rfam family "Bacterial small subunit ribosomal RNA", at positions 29 to 351 of the family's 1533-position model. Lineage: Bacteria; Pseudomonadati; Pseudomonadota. The record is from RNAcentral.